GACGAACGCUGGCGGCGUGCUUAACACAUGCAAGUCGAACGGAAAGGCCCUGCUUUUGUGGGGUGCUCGAGUGGCGAACGGGUGAGUAACACGUGAGUAACCUGCCCUUGACUUUGGGAUAACUUCAGGAAACUGGGGCUAAUACCGGAUAGGAGCUCCUGCUGCAUGGUGGGGGUUGGAAAGUUUCGGCGGUUGGGGAUGGACUCGCGGCUUAUCAGCUUGUUGGUGGGGUAGUGGCUUACCAAGGCUUUGACGGGUAGCCGGCCUGAGAGGGGGACCGGCCACAUUGGGACUGAGAUACGGCCCAGACUCCUACAGGAGGCAGCAGUGGGGAGUAUUGCACAAUGGGCGGGAGCCUGAUGCAGCAACGCCGCGUGCGGGAUGACGGCCUGCGGGUUGUGAACCGCUUUCGCCUGUGACGAAGCGUGAGUGACGGUAAUGGGUAAAGAAGCACCGGCUAACUACGUG
RNAcentral lists this ribosomal RNA (468 nucleotides) under uncultured bacterium. RNAcentral describes it as "partial 16S ribosomal RNA". It matches the Rfam family "Bacterial small subunit ribosomal RNA", at positions 28 to 507 of the family's 1533-position model. The record is from RNAcentral.